CAGUAGCCGCGGGAAUACGUAGGGUGCAAGCGUUAAUCGGAAUUACUGGGCGUAAAGCGUGCGCAGGCGGUUUGUUAAGACAGAUGUGAAAUCCCCGGGCUCAACCUGGGAACUGCAUUUGUGACUGGCAGGCUAGAGUAUGGCAGAGGGGGGUGGAAUUCCGCGUGUAGCAGUGAAAUGCGUAGAGAUCGGGAGGAACAUCAGUGGCGAAGGCGGCCAUCUGGGACAACACUGACGCUGAGGCACGAAAGCGUGGGGAGCAAACAGGAUUAGAGACCCGCGUAGUCCCUGUCUCUUAUAC
RNAcentral lists this ribosomal RNA (301 nucleotides) under uncultured bacterium. Its description in RNAcentral is "partial 16S ribosomal RNA". It matches the Rfam family "Bacterial small subunit ribosomal RNA", at positions 509 to 807 of the family's 1533-position model. The record is from RNAcentral.